UACGAAGGGGGCUAGCGUUGUUCGGAUUUACUGGGCGUAAAGCGCACGUAGGCGGAUUGUUAAGUCAGGGGUGAAAUCCUGGAGCUCAACUCCAGAACUGCCUUUGAUACUGGCAAUCUAGAGUCCAGAAGAGGUGAGUGGAACUCCUAGUGUAGAGGUGGAAUUCGUAGAUAUUAGGAAGAACACCAGUGGCGAAGGCGGCUCACUGGUCCGGUACUGACGCUGAGGUGCGAAAGCGUGGGGAGCAAACAGG
RNAcentral lists this ribosomal RNA (253 nucleotides) under uncultured bacterium. Its description in RNAcentral is "partial 16S ribosomal RNA". It matches the Rfam family "Bacterial small subunit ribosomal RNA", at positions 524 to 776 of the family's 1533-position model. The record is from RNAcentral.